Molecule: long non-coding RNA, 747 nt
Filed under: Phoenix dactylifera (date palm)
Lineage: Eukaryota; Viridiplantae; Streptophyta; Magnoliopsida; Arecales; Arecaceae
Description: long non-coding RNA (PDAC_LNC018520)
Source: RNAcentral
AACAUACUUUCAAUUAAUUUCGUGGGUGUGUGUAGGCCAUUUGUUAUGACAUUCCAUAACUCAUAGUUUUGUGAUUGAGUAAAGAUUUUCAUUCUAGCUUUCCAUUGAAUAUAGUUAGAUCUAUCAAACAGUGGAGGUCUGUUUGUGGAAAGUCCCUCAGCAAGUAAUACGUUAUGUGGGGUUGUCAUGAUCUUUGGCUCUAGUCGGUUAAGACUACAAAUAAUAUUUGAGCACCUGCUCUGAUACCACUUGUUGCCUAAGGUGACAACCCAAGAGGGGGGGUGAAUUGGGUCUUUUAAAAACUUUUAAACUACUUCUAAUCUUUUAGAGUUAAUUAAGCUAAGUUGUAUGGAUGCUUAGUUAAAUUUAAAUUUAGCAAGAGUAUGAUUCUAAUCUAAUCAACUAUUAAGCAGCGGAUUCAAUAAAAGAUUAGUCUAGGUUUGCCCAAGUAUGCAAUUCAAUUGAAUGAGACUUGAUUAAGUAAAUUGAAUAUGCUUGCAACUAAAGGAUGCACGAAGAAGAGCUAAGCAGGCAAUUUAUCUAGGUAAGUAAGUGAGCAAGAUAGACAAUGACAAAAAGCAUCACAAACACAACAAACAUAUAGUGGUUCGGUGCACCCCAGCACCUACAUCCACUCCCCAAGACCUCUUGGGAAUUUCACUAUAAUCCUACAGAUUACAGCCGGUUGUUUUACAAGCUCACAACCCAACUUGUUGUUUUGCGAGAUAACAACGAACUCGGUCGGUU